This 475-nucleotide ribosomal RNA is filed under the name uncultured bacterium. RNAcentral's name for it is "bacterial SSU rRNA". It matches the Rfam family "Bacterial small subunit ribosomal RNA", at positions 28 to 502 of the family's 1533-position model. The record is from RNAcentral.
GAUGAACGCUAGCGGCAGGCUUAACACAUGCAAGUCGAGGGGUAGAAGGAGCUUGCUCCUUUGAGACCGGCGCACGGGUGCGUAACGCGUAUGCAAUCUACCUUUUGCAGAGGGAUAGCCCAGAGAAAUUUGGAUUAAUACCUCAUAGUAUGUGAGGAUGGCAUCAUUUUCACAUUAAAGUCACAACGGCAAAAGAUGAGCAUGCGUCCCAUUAGCUAGUUGGUAAGGUAACGGCUUACCAAGGCUACGAUGGGUAGGGGUCCUGAGAGGGAGAUCCCCCACACUGGUACUGAGACACGGACCAGACUCCUACGGGAGGCAGCAGUGAGGAAUAUUGGACAAUGGGCGCAAGCCUGAUCCAGCCAUGCCGCGUGCAGGAUGACGGUCCCUAUGGAUUGUAAACUGCUUUGUACAGGAAGAAACACUACUUCGUGAAGUAGCUUGACGGUACUGUAAGAAUAAGGAUCGGCUAACU